GAGCAACCAGGCACAGCCCCUGCUGCGGAACCUCCCCCCAACUCCUCCCCUCUUCUGUGCCUUCUGGAACAGAGAGUAUUGCCAGAAAGAGAGUACUGGAAGGGCGAUUCUGCUGGUUCUUAGAAGUAACUUUGACGCCAACCCUUACUACUUACAGCUCUGAAAUGAGAAAGACGGUGAUGUAGGCGUUACUGGUUGUGAGGAUGGAAUUACACGGACUGCAGAAAUGCACAAUGAAUCCCCUACUUUAAAAAUGCUCGGUGAAGAGGAGACCACUGGGGAGUAAAAUGCAGUGUGAUGUGAGCAGCAGUGGAGAUGGGCGUGGACCGGCAGAGGAAGGAGUGAAGGAUUCACAUCUCAUAGGCUGCGGAGGCUUCCAGAAAUACCACCUGUUCCAGGUAUUCCAUACAACAGAUCCAGGUCAGAGUCUGUCACAAGGAAGCUGUUGGCCAGCCUGCCAAGGAGGAGGAAACACGAAGCUCUCGGUCCACCUGCGUUCUCUGUGAGGGAGCCUCCUACGGCACUGUUAUCUGUGGCACAGAUGGCAUUUUCAAACACAAAGUCACCACACUGUCUGAUCUUUGCCAAUACAAGGUUGCCAACAAGAUGUCAAGAGAGAAGGAAAAUCUACAAUGAAACUGUGAAGGAAAAAAAAAACCCUAAGAUGUUAUAAAAGUACAUUGUAACUGCAGUGGGAGUGGAAUUGACCGAGUGCAAACGCAGGGUGACCUCUGCAAGCUCGCAGCGCCAACGCGGGAACCCCAGCAUGGUCUGGCUGCAGAGUCUGUCUGAUUGUCCAA
RNAcentral lists this long non-coding RNA (800 nucleotides) under Homo sapiens (human). RNAcentral's name for it is "HSALNT0338402". Lineage: Eukaryota; Metazoa; Chordata; Mammalia; Primates; Hominidae. The record is from RNAcentral.